Molecule: ribosomal RNA, 439 nt
Filed under: uncultured Lysinibacillus sp.
Lineage: Bacteria; Bacillati; Bacillota; Bacilli; Caryophanales; Bacillaceae
Description: bacterial SSU rRNA
Rfam family: Bacterial small subunit ribosomal RNA
Source: RNAcentral
CCUACGGGAGGCUGCAGUAGGGAAUCUUCCACAAUGGGCGAAAGCCUGAUGGAGCAACGCCGCGUGAGUGAAGAAGGAUUUCGGUUCGUAAAACUCUGUUGUAAGGGAAGAACAAGUACAGUAGUAACUGGCUGUACCUUGACGGUACCUUAUUAGAAAGCCACGGCUAACUACGUGCCAGCAGCCGCGGUAAUACGUAGGUGGCAAGCGUUGUCCGGAAUUAUUGGGCGUAAAGCGCGCGCAGGCGGUCCUUUAAGUCUGAUGUGAAAGCCCACGGCUCAACCGUGGAGGGUCAUUGGAAACUGGGGGACUUGAGUGCAGAAGAGGAAAGUGGAAUUCCAAGUGUAGCGGUGAAAUGCGUAGAGAUUUGGAGGAACACCAGUGGCGAAGGCGACUUUCUGGUCUGUAACUGACGCUGAGGCGCGAAAGCGUGGGGAGC